This 493-nucleotide ribosomal RNA is filed under the name uncultured bacterium. Its description in RNAcentral is "partial 16S ribosomal RNA". It matches the Rfam family "Bacterial small subunit ribosomal RNA", at positions 30 to 523 of the family's 1533-position model. The record is from RNAcentral.
AUUGAACGCUGGCGGCAUGCUUUACACAUGCAAGUCGAACGGUAACAGGUUAAGCUGACGAGUGGCGAACGGGUGAGUGAUGCAUCGGAACGUGCCCGGUCGUGGGGGAUAACGCAGCGAAAGUUGCGCUAAUACCGCGCACGAUCUGAUGAUGAAAGCGGGGGACCGUAAGGCCUCGCGCGAUCGGAGCGGCCGAUGUCAGAUUAGGUAGUUGGUGGGGUAAAGGCUCACCAAGCCAACGAUCUGUAGCUGGUCUGAGAGGACGACCAGCCACACUGGGACUGAGACACGGCCCAGACUCCUACGGGAGGCAGCAGUGGGGAAUUUUGGACAAUGGGCGAAAGCCUGAUCCAGCAAUGCCGCGUGCAGGAAGAAGGCCUUCGGGUUGUAAACUGCUUUUGUACGGAGCGAAAAGGUCUCCUCUAAUACAGGGGGCUCAUGACGGUACCGUAAGAAUAAGCACCGGCUAACUACGUGCCAGCCGCCGCGGUAA